RNAcentral lists this ribosomal RNA (162 nucleotides) under uncultured bacterium. RNAcentral's name for it is "partial 16S ribosomal RNA". It matches the Rfam family "Bacterial small subunit ribosomal RNA", at positions 1325 to 1500 of the family's 1533-position model. The record is from RNAcentral.
GCUGGAAUUGCUAGUAAUCACAGGUCAGCAUACUGUGGUGAAUACGUUCCCGGGCCUUGUACACACCGCCCGUCACACCAUGAGAGUUGAGAAUACCCGAAGUCCAUGUCAAAGUGGCCGAAGGUAGGCUUGAUGAUUGGGGUGAAGUCGUAACAAGGUAUC